GAUUUUAACUUUACUGUGUGAUUUACAUGAUUACCUGAUGUAUUAUUGUUAGUAUGUUCUGGUAUGCAUGUAUCCUCUUCUACAUGGAGAUUUUCUGUUCCAGCAUAGUAUGUGAGAAUCAAGUUAGCAUCUAGUUAUUAUUUGUAACUUCAUUGAGGAAUAUUUUAUAUCGAAUAUAUCUUGUGCAGGCAUGGGCGUCAUCAUGUAGUUCUUUUGGUGACAUUCCGUAUGAUUUAUUGCUUUCCUGCUUAGAGCACCCUUGGUUAACUGUGGAAUGUGAGAAACAACUCGGUGAAGCGCUUGAAACUUGGCUUGCUAAUAACAAUAAAUCUUUGGAUGGCUUACCUAGCAACUCCAGCAGUGACAAAUUCGAUAUUCUUAAGAAGGUAAAAGUUUCUCUUUUGCCUUUGGAAUAUGCUGCAGG
Long non-coding RNA from Asparagus officinalis (garden asparagus), 424 nucleotides. RefSeq lists it as uncharacterized. The transcript is spliced from 3 exons. The record is from RefSeq and is a predicted model, not a curated record. Lineage: Eukaryota; Viridiplantae; Streptophyta; Magnoliopsida; Asparagales; Asparagaceae.